This 2004-nucleotide long non-coding RNA is filed under the name Homo sapiens (human). RNAcentral's name for it is "HSALNT0351819". Lineage: Eukaryota; Metazoa; Chordata; Mammalia; Primates; Hominidae. The record is from RNAcentral.
CCCAAAGUGCUGGGAUUACAGACAUGAGCCACCACGCCCAGACCCUUGCUUUACUUUCAUUUGGCAUAUGGUUUUUUCCACAGUGAUGACCAACAAAUGAAACUGUGCACCUUUGAAAGAGACUCUGCAGUUACAUUUCAGCUCUAAUAUCCCACACACAGGUAUCCUUGCAUCCUGUGAGGGGGAGGAGGUGCAGGCACUAAGCAGAUUCCUGGAAAUCAAUGGCCAGAGGCGAUGUUUUCAGAGAGGCCUUCAUCCUUCUCCUAACAUUGCUUUGGUCUCCAGGCCCAUGCACUGCUAAGAUCCCAAGAUUCAGACUGGGGGAUGGGAGUUGAGGAGAUGCCACCUUUAGGCUGAGCUGGGAGCUUCUGUCCACCUUUAUCAGACUUGAUCAGACUGUGCACCCUGGGGUAUCACCCUCUGCUUCAAUUAACACAAUGACUUCCCACCUUCGCAUCCUCCUCCUUCAAGGGGGACUUGGCUCGGUCAAUUAUUUCCUUCACCUUUUGCAUGUUCAGUGUUUUCCUUUCUUCCCGAGGCUUCCCCUCUGUGGACCAACAUGUUCCUCCAUGGCAAAAACAAAAACAACCAGCCCAAACCAGUUCUUUCUGCCCUCCUGCCCUCUGCAGGUCAGCGCUGCCUCCUCCCUCCCUUUCAUGGCAUUGAAUGGUGAGAGUGCAAUACCCUCAGUGGCGCCUAACAGUCAGCAGUGAGCGCUCAGGACCGUCACCCACCUCUGCGGCCGAUGACCCUCUCUUUGGCUCUGGCCCCAGCCGGCCUUGCGCUGUUCCUUCUCACGGUUUUUCCUGGCUCAUCUUCGUGCCCCCUCCCCUGAGGGUCCUGGAGGUCUGAGCCCUCUGGCCGCCUCUCCUCUCUCCUUGCACUCCUCCUCUCAUGGAGCGACCCCGUCUGUGCCACCUUCUCACCUUCCAUGUCACACACCUUCAGCCUUCACUGAGGAGAGAGCAGGGCUGCAGCAUCGUGUUCCAGUCUCAUCCCUCACGGAGCCGAGAACUAAAAAUUGAAACAGAGAAACCUCCUGACAAGGCCGCUGGCAAGUUCAAUGGGAACAACUCAGGUUUUCAGAAAGAAGUAUGAUCCCUGGAGCCAGCGGGUUCAAAAGAACGAAGAGAUUUAUCAAGAAUGAGACAUACCAGACCAGCUGCGUUGCUUUCCAUUGACAGGAAGCAAAUCAGCUGCUCAGGAAAAGGUCAAGCAUGGCACCUGGUCUCAGAGAGGUGUCCGUCAAAGGCUGUCAUAACAGCCCUAUGGACAAGAAGGAGACCUGGGCCAGGAUCUCCAUGAACUGUCCUAAAAUUUCCAAGAGAAGGAGACAUCCGUCAAGUAGAAGACAAAAAGGGAUGCUGACCAGGGAGGCCGGAUGCUGGAUGUGGUCUAGGAGGAAGCCUUGGAAUUUUCUCACUCUGGAUUGUGGAACCACAAAGUCAGCCUGGAGCUGCCUACAUCUGGACACCUAGGCUCCUGUCAGAGCCAGUUUAUUAUUUCCAGUCACUCAUUACUGGGAUUCUCCUCUCCCUGGGGCGUUAUGAAGUUCUGGAGUCUGGAAGUUCAAUAUCAAAGUGCCAGCAUCUGACAAGGGCCUUCUUGCUGAGACAUCCCAUGGCAGAAGCCAAAAGAGCAAGAGAGAGCGAGGGCAAGUGAGCAAAAGGAGGCCAAACUCACUUUUAAAACAGCCCACUCUAGAGAUAACUAACCCACUCCCUCAAAAAUGACAUUAAUCCAUCAGGAGAGCAGAACGCUUAUGACCUAAUCACCUUAUUAGGCCCCACCUCCUAACACUGUUGCAUUGGGGAUUAAGUUUCCAACACAUGAGUUUUGGAGAACACAUUCUCAAACCAUAGCAGCUUCCUUCCAAAACCUGUCUCAACUGCCCAAAGCCUUUUCCAGACUCUUCUUCUACUUGCAAACCCUCUAUUCAAACCAAAGAAACAAUUAAUAUAACCUUAAAUUUACAAAACCAUGUGGUUUGUUAAACAAUCACAU